Molecule: long non-coding RNA, 1473 nt
Filed under: Linum usitatissimum (flax)
Lineage: Eukaryota; Viridiplantae; Streptophyta; Magnoliopsida; Malpighiales; Linaceae
Description: long non-coding RNA (LUSI_LNC005694)
Source: RNAcentral
AAGGAUUUGGGUGAACUACGAUACUUUCUGGGAUUGGAAGUUACAAGAAGUGUCUCAGGAAUACAUCUUUCUCAAAGAAAAUACAUGUUGGAACUACUAGAGGAAGCAGAUAUGCUUGAAAGCAAACCAGUUGCUACCCCAAUGGAUUACAAGACACACCUGUCCUCAACUGGUGAUGAUGAAUUCCACAAUCUGGAAUUAUACAGAAGGAUAGUAGGAAAGCUUAUCUACUUAAACAACACAAGACUAGACAUAAGCUUUCCUACUCAACAGGUCAGCCAAUUCAUGUCCAGACCCUUAAAUGUUCAUUACAAAGCUGUUACAAGAAUUCUAAGAUACUUGAAAGGAGUUCCUGCAACUGGAAUUCUACUGUCUUCCACCUCAAGCCUUCAAUUAUAAGCCUACAGUGAUUCAGACUGGGCAGCAUGUCCAGAUACAAGAAGAUCAGUAACAGGAUAUUGUGUGUUUCUGGGAAAUUCACCAAUCUCCUGGAAAAGCAAGAAACAGACCACCAUUUCCAGAAGUUCAUGUGAAGCAGAAUAUCGUGCACUUGCUCACACAGCCAGUGAACUGUAAUGGUUGCUCUAUCUACUCUCAGAAUUCCAGGCUCAGCACCACCAAGCAGCAACAAUCUUCUGUGACAACCAGUCAGCAAUCCAUGUAGCAGAGAAUGCUGUUUUCAUGAAAGAACCAAGCACAUUGAGCUUGACUGUCAUUUUGUUCGAGAGAAGGUCCAACACAAGCUAGUGAAGCUCAUCCAUGUUCCCACCAGCCUUCAGGUCGCUGAUGUUCUCACAAAGGCACUAUCACCAGCACCUUUCAGCUACCUAAUCUCCAAGCUUGGUCUGCACAACCUGUGCCCCCCCCAGCUUGAGAGGGGGGGGGGGGUUUUAGAUGAUGAAAUGAUUUUCAUUUCCUGCCAAAAUCCCUCCACUUUAACGCUUAAGUGAAACGGUGCGUUCUUCCUCUCUGCACCAACAAGUCAAGUGAAACGGAGCGUUCUAUCAUCAACAAAGAUAAGAGUGAAACGUCACCGUUGUACCUUACAUCAAACAGCUCAUCGUCCUUUCUCUGUUCUUUCUGCAAAUUCUGUUAAGAGCUUCAAGCUCUCUCUCUUUCAGCCAGUAAACCAGCUGUGCAGCUUUUCGCUUAGUCCCUCUCAUUUUUGCAUAUGAACAAUUGAACCAUUAAUGAAAACGUUGAGCCAUUUGCUAAAAUCCUAAAGGAACUAAUAGAAGCAGAAAUCCGAGUUAACCAAAAAUAGCAAAUGUAAACAGUAGUAACCCACCAUUUUCUGAUGUCUACAGCCUCGUCCUUCAUGUUUCUGGAUUUGGGUUUUCUGAAGUUACAAGAAACAAUGGGAUUGGAAUUCAUUCCCUUGUAAGAGAGGAGAUAAGGAGGUGGAAAGUUGGUUGCUGGGAUUCAUAAAUGUGUUUAGGUUGUUGCUACUACACACAAGAAUUAAUAAGGGCA